Molecule: transfer RNA, 128 nt
Filed under: Nemania serpens
Lineage: Eukaryota; Fungi; Ascomycota; Sordariomycetes; Xylariales; Xylariaceae
Description: tRNA-Leu
Rfam family: tRNA
About the family: Transfer RNA (tRNA) molecules are approximately 80 nucleotides in length. Their secondary structure includes four short double-helical elements and three loops (D, anti-codon, and T loops).
Source: RNAcentral
GGUGAGAUGGCCGAGUGGUUAUGGCGCUGCGUUCAGGAAUUUUCUGUAUCAACUCGAUACAGAUUUGUUAACUUUGAACAAAUUUCGCAGUGGAGCAAUCCGCGUGGGUUCGAGUCCCACUCUCAUCA